RNAcentral lists this ribosomal RNA (406 nucleotides) under uncultured bacterium. Its description in RNAcentral is "partial 16S ribosomal RNA". It matches the Rfam family "Bacterial small subunit ribosomal RNA", at positions 30 to 526 of the family's 1533-position model. The record is from RNAcentral.
AUUGAACGCUGGCGGCAGGCCUAACACAUGCAAGUCGAACGAGUGGCGGACGGGUGAGUAAUGUCUGGGAAACUGCCUGAUGGAGGGGGAUAACUACUGGAAACGGUAGCUAAUACCGCAUAACAUCAGAUGUGCCCAGAUGGGAUUAGCUAGUUGGUGGGGUAACGGCUCACCAAGGCGACGAUGCCUAGCUGGUCUGAGAGGCUGAUCGGCCACAUUGGAACUGAGACACGGUCCAGACUCCUACGGGAGGCAGCAGUGGGGAAUCUUGCACAAUGGACGCAAGCCUGAUGCAGCAAUGCCGCGUGAGUGAAGAAGGCCUUCGGGUUGUAAAGUACUUUCAUCGGGGAAGCGUUACCCACAGAGAAAGCCCCGGCUAACUACGUGCCAGCAGCCGCGGUAAUUC